This 243-nucleotide long non-coding RNA is filed under the name Elaeis guineensis (African oil palm). RNAcentral's name for it is "long non-coding RNA (EGUI_LNC054138)". The record is from RNAcentral. Lineage: Eukaryota; Viridiplantae; Streptophyta; Magnoliopsida; Arecales; Arecaceae.
GCCGGGUGCCAUUCCCUGCUCCCUGACUUCGGAUGAACUCCUUCUGAUAAGGGUUCAGUAUGGAGUUCCUCCGAAGUAUGACCUGGAGCUGCCUGGCCCCUCCGACCGGGCUAGCGCUCUCCCACCCGAUCGUUUUUGCCUGUAUCAGGAGGCGUUCCGUGCCGGACUCUGACUUUUGCUUCCGCCCUUUAUCGUCGCCCUCUUCCGGUUCUUAGGUAUCUCUUUGGCUUCAGUUGCUCCAAA